GCCACGGUGGUCUAGUGGUUAUGGCGCUCGACUGCUGAUCGAAGGUCGCGGGAUCGAAUCCCGGCCGCGGCG
This 72-nucleotide transfer RNA is filed under the name Rhipicephalus sanguineus (brown dog tick). RNAcentral describes it as "transfer RNA serine (anticodon GCU)". It matches the Rfam family "tRNA". Rfam says of the family: Transfer RNA (tRNA) molecules are approximately 80 nucleotides in length. The record is from Rfam by way of RNAcentral. Lineage: Eukaryota; Metazoa; Arthropoda; Arachnida; Ixodida; Ixodidae.